UCAGGGUCAGGGUGACUGUCCAAGCCUUUCAUAAGUCUGGUGCUGCAGCUUAAAAUAGCCCCUUGAUUGCAGAGGAGGCUGUGGCUGGGGGUACUCGUCGGCCUGGCUGGCUCUUACACAGCUCUGGGAUGAGCUGCUCUGGCCAGGACUGAUGUGACCGUCUGGAAUGAAUCUCCCAGCUCAUCCUGAGCUCCCAGAUACCUGUCCCACAGCACCCACCAGGGCAGUGACAGCAAACCCAGCACAGCAGCCUGCAGCCCUGGGCACCCAGCAGUGUGGAUACAUCCAGAUGAAGAAGGCUGGAUAAUGCCAUUCCAGCAUGGCCCAGCUGCUGACACAGGUUCCACCAAGUGCAGAAACAGUCCCCACCCCGGGAGAUGCCAGCAGGGACCUGGUCCAGCUGCUCCUGCCCAGGUCACAGCUCUGGCCUGAUCCUGAUGCCUCCCUCUGCACAGCAGCAUCCUUCCCUAAGGACAAGGCUGGUCGCUAAAGACAGGAUUCCUAAAUGAGCCUGAGAAUUACACAUGCAAAUCCCAAAGGCCUGCAAUUGGGAACAUCUGAGCAACAAAUUGUCCUUGCUAAAGACGCUGUUGGAGCCAAAAAGCCUACAGAUUUCAGGCCCGCUGUAAACACUUUUAAAAUCAAAGAUCAGCCUGUCUGCACUGCUCGUGUUUGCCAGGUGCCAGUUCUCUUCUCGAGAAACUUUCUGCUUGAGCAGAGAGGGGACACGGGGACAGGAGAGGGGACAGCCUGUGGCUCCGGGCUGCUCCUCCCGUGCCCUUCCCUGGGGCCGCAUCCUGCCGAGAUGCUGAGCCCGUGUCCUGAGAGGCGGCGGGGAGGGCAGGAGGGAAGGAGGGAAGGAGGGAAGGAGGGAAGGAGGGAAGGAGGGAAGGAGGGAAGGAGGGAAGGAGGGAAGGAGGGAAGGAGGGCCAGGCUGUGCGUGCAGAUGUUCAGGAAAGCGCUGCAUUCAGCCAGACCUGCUCCCCAGCCCGCCGUGCCCCCCUCCUCCCGCAGCGCUCCUCAUCCUGGGAUUUUUUUAAGCUGCCCGGACUGACCCUCAGGGGCUCAGCCAGCAUCUCCCUGACUCCGGGGCACUCGGGAUGAGCAGGGAGAGGAUUGCUCAGACCUGACCUUCCCGUCCUUCCUCCCUCACCCCCAGAGAUUGGGCAGCAUCAGCACCUCCAGGCACUGACCCAUCUGCCAGCACUGGCUCUGCAGCCAGGUUCUAUCCCCGUGGCUGGACAGACACAUUUCUGCUGCACCAGGAGGCUGCACCUGGUGCUGCCCAGCACUGUGAGUUGCAGAAUUGCUCUUCUGUGCAGGCAUUUGGGGAUCAGGUGCUGGUUUAGCUGUGGGCCAAAGCCUGCAGCGUUUGGAGAACAAGCUGGUGGGGGACUGGGGAGAGAUGACUUUUCUGGGCAGGGAGGUGACAUUCUGAUUGAUUCAUUCCUAUCUCACUAUGACUGUCUGACCAGUAACAGGGGAUUCUUGGUGUGCAAACAGCCCCUGGAUUCUUCCCACCUCACACACAUACCUAUCUAUUCCCUUUCACUUUACCCAGAAAGGAGGGUAACGUGAAAUUUGCACCCUGCUCCAAGGUGAUGCAGACAGUUUAACUACCAACGGGUUAAAUCCAGCUUGUGCUUUCCCGUGGGCUGCCUGCUACUGUGGGCAAAGCAAGCAGGAUUCCUCCAGUGACGUUAAAUGUGCUCCCAAAGCUGGUGGGCUACCGAGCUCCCAGCCACGGCUCACUGCAGCAGCAGCAGCAGCAGCAGCACAGCACACCAGGGACGGCUCCGUGCCACAAGUGUCAGCCCUCAGCUCUCCCCGGGGCUGCUCAAGGCACAGCUUUGGGAUGGGGAGGGAUGCAGGCAAGAGGAGCUGGAGGUCAGGAGAAGCACUUGUGUCAAACACGUAUCAAAGCAGGGGUGCCCGUAGUGGCAGGGCUGCUCUCGGGGUUUCAGGACUUGUGUGCAGCCCAAAAGCUGUUGUGAAAUAAUGCUGCUUUGGGGUUCCUACCAGAACAAGUGGGGUUUGGCUGGGGCUUGGGCAAAUCCCCAUUCAAAGAGAAGAACACCCACUGCUUUAAGAGGACAGGGACAAGCUUGCCUGUAUUUUAAACACAUGGGAAAGUCCUGUUAAGUUUAAGAGGGGCUGGGUUUUUAAAUAUGGAUUGUAAUUUUUGGCUUAACCCACUAUUUCCCAACCAGGCCAUGGUCCCCUCGCUCCCUCUUCCCGCGAGGCAAACGCACCUGCACGCGCUCUUGAAAAU
Long non-coding RNA from Poecile atricapillus (Black-capped chickadee), 2272 nucleotides. RefSeq lists it as uncharacterized. The record is from RefSeq and is a predicted model, not a curated record. Lineage: Eukaryota; Metazoa; Chordata; Aves; Passeriformes; Paridae. The transcript is spliced from 4 exons.